Molecule: long non-coding RNA, 2869 nt
Organism: Hipposideros armiger (great roundleaf bat)
Lineage: Eukaryota; Metazoa; Chordata; Mammalia; Chiroptera; Hipposideridae
Exons: 6
Source: RefSeq, a predicted model, not a curated record
CACUCUCUCACUCUCUCACUCUCUCUUUCUCUCCCUUACUGCAGAUUUUAAAAAGUUCAUGAAGUUGCAUCUCUCCUUAUAGAAGAACUCCAGCACCAUCAUAGAUUUAAUCUUUUGCUGUCAUUGAACUUGGGAAGCAGUUAGAUAAAAAAUUUACACUUUUUUUCCCAAGUGGAAUGAAAAAGGGACACUCAUAAUUAAACCACUACCACCUUUUAAAAUUCAUUUCUUUGUUAAAGAAUUAAAUUCUUUGUUAAAAUUAAAUUUAUUCUUUAACAUGUGUGCUACAGUCUUCCAUGUUUUUAUUUAACUCUGGAGUAUGGAGCUCAACUGCUCUCUCCUUGCAGACCUGAGUUUUUUGUGUCAGUUCUGGAAUGGGAGGCAGGUCACAGGGAACAUUUAUUUGGUGACAGUGUUUUUUGUUUUUUUGUUUUAAGAAAUCUUUUUUGUUUAUUGACAUCAAAUGAUUUUAACAUCCUGAAAUUCUGUGCUUGAAGUUAUAAAAUAGUCGUUCAAUGAAUUUUUGUCUUCUGGAUAUUUAACAUUGUUCUUUUGUCAUUUAUGAAGUAAAUUAAUUUGUAUCAAACUUAAAGAAGAAAUCUUCCAGGUAAGAAGUAGUUGAGAAUAACACAUUUAAAAAAAAAAUCUCAAGUAGGCUACUAUACUGUAAUAAGUAUUUGUUGAGAAGAUAAUCUUCAUGUGAGAGAAUAUUUUGAAAAUCACUAGGAAAGAAUCAUUUUAGAAUGGAAACAUGCAUCAUUUACCUUACUCUACAUUGUGAAAGUGUUCCUAACAUUCACGUUACAUUGGACCUUAAAUUUUUAUGACAGUUUUUCUCUAUGGGAAACUAAUACACAGAUGUUACACAAAUAGAAGCAUAGUACUGAACUAAAGAAAAGAAUGUUUUUCGCUUUUUGUGAUAUUACCUAGUAAAAUAGCUAACAAUUUUAUCCAAGAAAAAAACCUCAAAAACUCAAUCAGCACUCACUGCCUAGUGAUUUCUGCUUAGUACACUAGCUAGAAAAGAAAUAUUGUGAUUUUUACCAAAAACAGGUAACCUGGGGAGAGAAAUUACAUCCGGAUUAGACUAGGGAAAAGGCCACAAGGUCCCAUUAGGCUUCUAGUCUAUUCACUGAUCUCUUUAAGGACACUUCUAUCCUUUAGAUUAAAGGACGGGUUCCAGAGGACACCAGCACAUCUGGGCAAGGAGAGGGGGGGUUUUUUUGCUGAAAGCAGAGCCAGUAAAAAGAGUAGGAGCAUGAUGACCAGUUUUUAUCUAAGGUACAUCAGGAUAACCAGAGGCUAUUUCCUACUUUGCUGCUCCUUUUAACUAAAUAAGUUGGGAUUGCCCUAAUGAAUUUCCAAGGCUUUCAGAAUUUGUCAGAAUUUAUAACCUAAUGUAAGACACCUAACAUUGAGAACUCACCAUUCUGUGGGAUGCUGACCUCCUUUUGUCAGUUAUUUUCACAUCAGAUCUACCCAGGGACAGAAAUACCACUCUGCUUUCUCCUGAUAGCACCAAAUUAAGGCGAUACUGGGUGCAAAAUAAAUGCAGAAUUAAGCCCAUUUCUAUAGCGUAGAAAAAUGUCUUUUGUGGAUAUCUUUUCUAUAAACACAUGAUUUUAUCGUGUUAUCUGUGUUUUAUAACUGUUACUACACAUGCAUUUAUAUAGUUAAGUCAUAUCUCUAUGACUUGUGUCUAUGACUCACUUGGUGGUUUUACCUUAAGUGGAAUGACUAUUUCAGAAAACGUUGCUAGAAAGCAGAUGUCCUGGAAAGCGAAGGCUUUCCUGACACCUUCAGUAUGAAAUGAAACAGAAAGGAGUGUUUGUUGAAUAUCUGUUGUAUGACAGGCACUGCACUAACUGACAUUUCAUUUCUACGUAUAGGGGCCCUUCCGGGGGUGUUCCUUUGGACGGGGGAUGGGGGAAGGAAGGGAAGAGCUCAAAUGAUUGCACCUGCUGUGCUCCCACAGUCAUCAGUCUGGUCAUCCAGUACACCAGUCAAAAGGCCACCUGGAGCAACCUAUUUUCCUUGGCGCUACUUACAGAACCACAGGAUGUGAGAGUUGGAAGGAACCUCAGAGAUUCUCCUGUCCAACUUCUCAAAGGAGGCACCUGAGGCCCAGAGAAGAUGCCCCGGAAUAUCAGUUGCAGAGUUUGGCAGAAUGACUAAGAUGGUAACUUUAGGAAGAUGACUUCAGGUUGUUAGAAUCACCCUGAACUGAAGCAGCAGCAGCAUUCCUCAUGAGGGGACCCCCAGAUUAGCGAGUGACGGCACUUCUGGAGGCUUGUCCACCCUGGCUUCUAUCCCCCAUGCUCUGCCAAAAGUGCUCUCCAAGGUACCCAGUAACCUGCAUGCCACCUACUCCAGAGAGUGUUUCUGAGUUCUCAUCUUAACUCCUCACAAUAUCUGAGAAUCCCUCGAUUGCACAUGAAAGAAAACCCAACUCCAUUUGUGGCAAAGCAAACAGAUCAAAUGCUUUCCAGUCAGCAAAUAGAAAUCCUGCAUUUUUCAGUUGCACCGCUUUCUACAAAGGGCCAAUGUAAAGGUUUAAAAUCAGACUUUCUAACUGAAAAGGAGCCACCUACUAUGUAUUACCAAAUAGAUCAAUUAUAACUUCAGAAGAUAUAUUUUUAAAAUCAUGCCUAACAGCUAAAGAAGGUAUGCAUUUCUCUGUCUAUACACAUUUGUCGAUGUGCGAUGUGCGCUGAUGGGAAUUCUGCCCUGCUGAGACCUUGAAAACCUGUUUGCUAUCAAACACUGCCCCAAAAUAAAAUGUUUUAAGUUCUGUAAGGUCCUAUGGAAUAAAAAGUCCUUUGAUUAUGACUUACUUUAUUCAAUAGAUGAACACAAAAAUAUCUUUUUA